RNAcentral lists this long non-coding RNA (2023 nucleotides) under Solanum tuberosum (potato). Its description in RNAcentral is "long non-coding RNA (STUB_LNC011203)". The record is from RNAcentral. Lineage: Eukaryota; Viridiplantae; Streptophyta; Magnoliopsida; Solanales; Solanaceae.
UUCAUAGUAAUUACUGCCUCAAUUCAGAUUAUUCUUACUAAUUCUAUUUGAGUAACUUCCUUCACAUGUCAUUUGAAUUCCUGAUGCAUCUGUUUUCCCUAGAAUAUAUAUAUAUAUAUAUAUAUAUUUAUAUAUAUAUAUAUACACGUCAAUCGGUUAAAUAGGAGCUUUCUUGUGUUCUGUUUAAGACUCUGUCCUAAGAUUUGCCUGGAGUAUGAGUUUGUUGGUGUUAAUAUUUCAAAUAUACUAUGCUGACCUCUUUUAGUAUAAUAUGAGUUGUCGUGGCUAUAUUACAUCGUGUUGGGUCUCUUAGUUUGUUCAUUUUUAAAUUAAGGGAGCAAGUUUGUGUUUGUCGAUGGUUUUGUCAUGUAAACAAGACUAUACCGACUUAUGUUGAGUGGUUGUUUGAGUUCAUUUCUCUUGGAUCGGAUAUGCCUAAUUACCAUUUGUUGUUGUUGUCAUAGUUAGAUACUACCUUGUAUUGUUUUUCUUUUUCUUUUUAAUGCACUAUGAAAGUACUGGGUUGGUUACAAGAUUUAAGUUGUGAUUAUUUUUUUUUGUUAAUAUAUAUAUAUUAAACCUCAUAUAUUGCUGCCUUCAUGUAUUUGGGUUGUAAGACAACAUAAAUGAUUAUUUUCCUCCAUAGCCUUUUUGCCAAAAUAUAGUUGUAUGUGGCCAUAAUUUUUUUUAGUUCACUGCUGUUCUUGCUUUGCCUCACUUAGUCGAUGUUAUAUCUUUCUACUUAGUUAAGAAGCUCAUUUAAUUAAUUGACUUGUUUUAAUCUUAAUUAACUGCUGCAAUUAUCUCAUUUCUUUGGAUAUAAGCCCUUCGUCUUUUGUUUAGAANNNNNNNNNNNNNNNNNNNNNNNNNNNNNNNNNNNNNNNNNNNNNNNNNNNNNNNNNNNNNNNNNNNNNNNNNNNNNNNNNNNNNNNNNNNNNNNNNNNNGCUCUAUUACAUCGUGUUGGGUCUCUUAGUUUGUUCACUUUUAAAUUAAGAGAGCAAAUUUGUGUUUGUCGAUGGUUUUGACAUAUAAACAAGACUAUACCGACUUAUGUUGAGUGGUUGUUUGAGUUCAUUUGUUUUCUCUUGGAUAGGAUAUGCCUAAUUACCAUUUGUUGAUGUUGUCAUAGUUAGAUACUACCUUAUAUUGUUGGUUUUUUUUUAAUGCACUAUGAAAGUACUGGGUAGGUUAUAUAUAUAUUAAACCUCAUAAAUUGCUACCUUUACGUAUUUAGGUUGUGAGACAACAUAAAUGAUCAUUUUCCUCCAAGCCUUUUUGCCAGAAUAUAGUUGUAUGUUGCCAUAAUUUUGUAGUUCACUGUUGAUCUUGCUUUGCUUCACUUAGAUGAUGUUAUAUUUUUCUACUUAGUUAAGAAGCUCAUUUAAUUAGUUGGCUUGUCUUAAUCUUAAUUGACUGCUGCAAGUAUCUCGUUUCUUUGGAUAUAAGCCCUUCGUCUUUUGUUUAGAAGUGCUUUUAUUUUGCAAUUAUGUUCGUAUCUCCUAAAGUGAUUUAUGUGUUUACUUCUAUCUUGAAUUGAUUACUUGAUUUGUCGUUUUGUUGGAAUUUUAUCUCUAUUCUAAUUCUUGGUUAUCUUUUUGUUGCAUAAAAUCUGCCCAAGUCCUCACGGACUCAAUCUUUGCAUUUCGGUGACUCAAUCUUUGCAUUUUGGACGGGCCAUAAAGGCCCAAAAUUCUUUUAUCGAGUCAGCCCCUAUAUAUUCGGAAGCUGUUACAGGUCCCGGAGACCCAACACUACUGGAAAUUAGUUCACAAAUGUUCGAAAGCCCAAAAAAUGGGCUGUAUUCAUAAUGUAUACAGAAGUAUAUACUCAUUAUACAGCAAAUUAUAGGUCAAAAAUGCGAAAAUACAAAGAUGAGGUAAAAUACAGGUGUUCGGAAGCAGGAGAUACACGGAAAGAGCUGAUAUACACGCCAAUAUAUACUAAUAUACAGCCGGUGUAUACAAAAAGGGGAUUGGGUUAAAGGCCAAAAUUUGCAGCGAAAUUGGCCCAAGAAGGGGCCCA